RNAcentral lists this ribosomal RNA (263 nucleotides) under uncultured Pseudomonas sp. RNAcentral describes it as "partial 16S ribosomal RNA". It matches the Rfam family "Bacterial small subunit ribosomal RNA", at positions 1120 to 1382 of the family's 1533-position model. Lineage: Bacteria; Pseudomonadati; Pseudomonadota; Gammaproteobacteria; Pseudomonadales; Pseudomonadaceae. The record is from RNAcentral.
AGCACGUUAUGGUGGGCACUCUAAGGAGACUGCUGGUGCAAACCGGAGGAAAGGUGGGGAUGACGUCAAGUCAUCAUGGCCCUUACGGCCUGGGCUACACACGUGCUACAAUGGUCGGUACAAAGGGUUGCCAAGCCGCGAGGUGGAGCUAAUCCCAUAAAACCGAUCGUAGUCCGGAUCGCAGUCCGCAACUCGACUGCGUGAAGUCGGAAUCGCUAGUAAUCGUGAAUCAGAAUGUCACGGUGAAUACGUUCCCGGGCCUU